Molecule: ribosomal RNA, 856 nt
Filed under: uncultured Neocallimastigales
Lineage: Eukaryota; Fungi; Neocallimastigomycota; Neocallimastigomycetes; Neocallimastigales
Description: partial large subunit ribosomal RNA
Rfam family: Eukaryotic large subunit ribosomal RNA
Source: RNAcentral
AUGUGAUCGUCUCUCGCAUAUCAAUAAGCGGAGGAAAAGGGGUACCUACGCUUAGGAUGUUGACACACGCGCGUGCUCGGCUCUAUACAUGACUCUGUGCAUAUCAAUAAGCGGAGGAAAAGAAACUAACAAGGAUUCCCCUAGUAACGGCGAGUGAAGCGGGAAGAGCCCAAAUUUGAAAUCUUAAAGGGUUUCCCUUUACGAAUUGUAGUUUAAAGAAGUGUUUUCUGUUGAGGUUUUGGUAAAAGUUCUUUGGAAUAGGACAUCAUAGAGGGUGAGAAUCCCGUAUUUGACCUUUACUUUCAACUUUGUGAUACACUUUCAAAGAGUCGGAUUGUUUGGGAAUGCAGUCCAAAAUGGGUGGUAAAUUUCAUCUAAAGCUAAAUAUUGGCGAGAGACCGAUAGCGAACAAGUACCGUGAGGGAAAGAUGAAAAGAACUUUGAAAAGAGAGUUAAACAGUACGUGAAAUUGUCAAAAGGGAAGCGUUUGACACCAGUGUUGUUUUUCUGAAAAUCAAUUAAAGAACUGUUUAUGCUAAGUUGUUUAGACUUUAUCAGCUAACUGUUUAGUUUUGAGCUUUUCUUUAAUGCACUUUUCAGUUAACAAGUCAACAUCAAUUUCUUUUGCUGUAAAAAAGCUUGAGGAAGGUGGCUUGAGAUUCGUCUUAAGUGUUUAUAGCCUCUUGCCUAUGCAGUCGGAGAGAUUGAGGUCUGCAGCGUAGAUCCUUCGGGGCUAAAUGCAUUUGUGCUAAGUUAUAGCAUUUUAUAGACAACUUGUUGACUAUGAUUUGUCUUGUAGCUUACUCGCUUAUGUUAUUUUACCUACGCUUAGGAUGUUGAACGCGCACAGAGUCUC